Non-coding RNA from Schizosaccharomyces pombe (fission yeast), 1228 nucleotides. Lineage: Eukaryota; Fungi; Ascomycota; Schizosaccharomycetes; Schizosaccharomycetales; Schizosaccharomycetaceae. The record is from the annotation of a GenBank genome assembly.
CAUCAGCAAGAACCAUUGCGCCACCUUCAAGGUAAAAUUCUCUGGUAACUGAGUCUCUUUGAAUAGAAGCAGUCAAACCAGCAGCACUUGAACCUUUACCGGAAGUAUAAACAGCGAUGGGGGCCAGUCGCUCAACGAAUUUCAAAAAUUGAGAUUUCGCAGUACCAGGAUCACCAAGAAGUAAAACAUUAAUGUCACCACGAAGGCGCAUACCAUCGGGGAGAAUUUUUUUAGAACCUGAAAAAAGUAGGCAUGCAAUAGCUUUCUUGAUGUCUACAUUACCAUAAAUAGCGGGAGAUAUGCUGUUGGAUAUAAUAUCGUACAAAUUCGGAGUACGAGAAAUUUCAAGGAACUCCUCUUCUUCCUCUUCACUAAAUAAAGGAGUAGAUUUAGAGCCAUCAUUUGAAUCCAUUUGAAUACCCACGACUCUGAUAUAAGGGUUCCGAAUGGCCACGGCACCACUAGCUUUAACAGACUUAUUUUGAAAAAUAGAAAAAAUGCCAGUAAUAACGCAGCGGGUUCCCGGAGUAAUUUGGUUAGUUAAAUAGCGAUCAGCAUUCAAUAAUAUAUGACGAGGCAACUCACCGACAGGAACCAUAUCAGGAGCUUCCUGUAGUUUAAGCACCUGCUGAUCGAUAAAAGUCGAUUUUGAAUGAUCAAUAAUGAAAGGAUCCAUCGGGCAGUCUUUUUUUUCACCAUCGAGAACAGGAGCUUCACAAACUCUAGGAAGCUGAACACCUGAAAAUCCACCAGAAAUCUGUAAAAUCCUGGUAGCCCUACAAUUUCUGCAUACUAAGUGCAAAGCAGUUGCACGGCAGGAAAGUGUUGAAGCACCGAUGAUGAUACCAGGCACUCUAACCAGUUUUGAGAUAUGAGAAGCUGUCAGGUUACGGAUUGGAAGGAUGUUAGCAUCGUAACGUAGAGUUACCUGGCAAGUGGGGAUAUUCGUAGAAGCAUUUUCUUGACUUCUAUAAAGUAGGCGUUUAGCAACUGUAGUGACAGCAGACUCAAACAGAGGUAGAAUAUCUGUCGGCUGACUCAGAAGCAAAUGAGCUAGAUCUUCGUUAUAACUGAUCAGGUGCCUAAGAUCUAUGUUCAACAUGUAUUGUUUUACCACGAGAUUGUCUCUUAGUUGAGUACGAUAGAUAAAGUCAUUGUCAAUCACAAAUUCUUCAAUAAACUGUAUGAAAUUCUUCUCAUGACUAACAUUGGAAUCUAAUUCUUGCUC